AAGUGUUACAGGUUGUUUUCAACCUGCAGCUGCGGCUGCCUACGGCAUGAGCGCUGAGUUCUGCCAAUUUGAUUUUGUGAAGCUGAUGAGAAAUAGAUGGAAAAUAUAUCAUGUACAUGACUUAGUAGCAGCAUGCAAAAACAUGAAAAACGAAAUUAUACGGAGGGUAAUUUCUAGGGUGGGGUGUUUUGAGCUGGGUCGCCCCAAGCAGCAAUAGCUGCAGUAACUCUACAGUUUCAUUUGAGUUGGACAGCUUCGGCUGAUUCAUAUGGGUGUUGCGCAAAUGCGACACCUACGGUAGAGCGCACUAGUUCUAUCAAUCUCAUUUGGCUAUACCUGGUAUGCAUAUACCUACGUACAGUCGAAAACCGACAGGGUGUCUACCCGUCUGAUGCUCUUACGGUGUGCUAAUAGUUCUUGAAUUGUUAGUCCAUGCCGCUGGGUGACGGGCUGUGCUGUCUUCGGACAGUGCUAGGCUUAAUGAGUGGUGCUAGCCAAGGCUUAUCCACCGCCCUGUCUGAUUGUUUCCUAUCAUUUUACACUGUUUAAGUGGUUCAUGCUUCGGCUUGGAUCAUUGACCCAACAUGCACCCAGCCUCGUGCUGGACUGCAUGUGCAGGUUCBCCUGGCGGUGCCUUAUCCCGGGCUGGACUUGCUAAUUAUACAUCGUUCAUCUUGGUGACGAGAUGUGCGAGGUGAG
This 699-nucleotide unclassified non-coding RNA is filed under the name Lepidapedon elongatum. Its description in RNAcentral is "Internal Transcribed spacer 1 (ITS1) or ribosomal DNA". Lineage: Eukaryota; Metazoa; Platyhelminthes; Trematoda; Plagiorchiida; Lepocreadiidae. The record is from RNAcentral.